RNAcentral lists this long non-coding RNA (303 nucleotides) under Helianthus annuus (common sunflower). Its description in RNAcentral is "hypothetical non coding rna". Lineage: Eukaryota; Viridiplantae; Streptophyta; Magnoliopsida; Asterales; Asteraceae. The record is from RNAcentral.
UGCCUUCCGAACUACUCCAAGAUACACGAUGCGUCAAAGAUAGAGUAACUUAUAGUUUUUAGUAUGAACAUCAACUCUUCCGAAGCAAAUUACCCCAAGGGCUUCUCAAAUGCUGAUCGUAUUGCUUAUUCGACAAUGUGAGCUGUUAACGCAUUUUGAAACGGCGCAAUGCUGAAGGCACAUGGAGCAGAGUUAGAACAAGUUAAAGAAGAAAAAAUCUUAUAAUAAAGAAUAUUGAAGAAAAUGCAAAAUUAUGCACCGAAAUGUGAAGACUUCAAAUGUUGUCACAAAACUCGCCACAAA